GAUCAAUUCAGUUGCAUUAAACAUUGGAAACUAUUGGUCAUCAACUGGGGUGGUGUCAGCAUGGAUAAUACACUAAAAGAACCAUAGAAAAUCACACAACACAGACUAGUACCAUCCUAGAGCACCAACACGCUGUUAUUGAAUCCCGCGAACAAAAUGGGAUUCCCACCAAGGUAACAGCCAUGACACGGGCAAGUAUAGGAACCAGUUGUUGUUUCUUGAUUUUCCUCAUGGUGGUGGAGCUCCGG
RNAcentral lists this unclassified non-coding RNA (248 nucleotides) under Hevea brasiliensis (rubber tree). The record is from RNAcentral. Lineage: Eukaryota; Viridiplantae; Streptophyta; Magnoliopsida; Malpighiales; Euphorbiaceae.